CCUACGGGUGGCAGCAGUGAGGAAUAUUGGUCAAUGGUCGAGAGACUGAACCAGCCAAGCCGCGUGAGGGAGGAAGGUACAGCGUAUUGUAAACCUCUUUUGUCAGGGCACAAAGACUGGGACGCGUCCCCGGAUGAGGGUACCUGAAGAAAAAGCAUCGGCUAACUCCGUGCCAGCAGCCGCGGUAAUACGGAGGAUGCGAGCGUUAUCCGGGUUUAUUGGGUUUAAGGGGUGCGCAGGCGGCCUGGUAAGGCAGCGGUCAAAGCGCGGGGCUCAACCCCGUCCCGCCGUUGAAACUGGCAGUCUUGAGUUGGAGAGAAGUAUGCGGAAUGCGUGGUGUAGCGGUGAAAUGCAUAGAUAUCACGCAGAACUCCGAUUGCGAAGGCAGCAUACCGGCGCACAACUGACGCUCAUGCACGAAAGCGUGGGUAUCGAACAGGAUUAGAUACCCCAGUAGUC
Molecule: ribosomal RNA, 459 nt
Filed under: uncultured bacterium
Lineage: Bacteria
Description: partial 16S ribosomal RNA
Rfam family: Bacterial small subunit ribosomal RNA
Source: RNAcentral